AUAGGGGAAGGCUGGGCAAAGUGAAUACCCCGGGCAAAGCGAAUACUCCCCACUAUUCCUAAAAUAUUAGAUGUUAAUUCAACACACCACUACUGUUACGUCGGGCCAUCUUGGAUUAAUACGCGGCAAACAUAGAAACGAGAGGCCGCGUCGUGUCCCUUCCGCGGAGUGGAGAUUUGUGUUUUCGUAAAUAAAAGAUUGAUUUUAAGCGAUGAUGAAUAAAUAUAAAAAAACUGUUUUCACCGAUGAUUAGGAAAAUAUAUAUAAAAGAAGACGGUAAACUAAUUGAAAAUUGGAUUCGAUGUAACAUUUGUCAACAAUGGUGUCACGAAGAUUGUUAACUGCUUUUGAUGGCACAUAAGGGUAUACCUGUGACAAUUGUCAAUCGUAAUUUUAUAAUUUUAUGGUCAAUAAAAGUUAUUUGUUUCAGUUAAUCAAAGUUAUUUCUAUAUUUUCAGAGUCUGAUUAUGGGUAUUCACUUUGCCCAAGUGCUGUAUCCGCUUUACCCGGGGUACCGGGCAAAGCGAAUACAAUCUUACUUUUUUUUAUUUUAACUGCAGUUGAUUAUUGUUUAAAUAUUCUUGGUUACUGAUGUUCGUAUUUGUAAGAGCAAUAAAUAAAGAUUGAUUUGUGAU
RNAcentral lists this long non-coding RNA (635 nucleotides) under Pectinophora gossypiella (pink bollworm). RNAcentral describes it as "uncharacterized LOC126372605". The record is from RNAcentral. Lineage: Eukaryota; Metazoa; Arthropoda; Insecta; Lepidoptera; Gelechiidae.